GAUGAACGCUAGCGGCAGGCUUAAUACAUGCAAGUCGAGGGGCAGCAGCUUUAUAGCAAUAUAGAGGCUGGCGACCGGCAAACGGGUGCGGAACACGUACACAACCUUCCUUUAAGAGGGGGAUAGCCCAUAGAAAUGUGGAUUAAUACCCCGUAACAUAUCGGUGUGGCAUCACACUGUUAUUAUAGUUUCGACGCUUGAAGAUGGGUGUGCGGCUGAUUAGGUAGUUGGCGGGGUAAAGGCCCACCAAGCCUUCGAUCAGUAGCUGAUGUGAGAGCAUGAUCAGCCACACGGGCACUGAGACACGGGCCCGACUCCUACGGGAGGCAGCAGUAAGGAAUAUUGGUCAACGGACGCAAGUCUGAACCAGCCAUGCCGCGUGAAGGAUGAAGGUCCUCUGGAUUGUAAACUUCUUUUUUAGGGGGCGAAAAAAGGGAAUUCUUUCUCACUUGACAGUACCCUAUGAAUAUGCACCGGCUAACUCCGUGCCAGCAGCCGCCGUAA
Molecule: ribosomal RNA, 504 nt
Filed under: uncultured bacterium
Lineage: Bacteria
Description: partial 16S ribosomal RNA
Rfam family: Bacterial small subunit ribosomal RNA
Source: RNAcentral